GAUGAACGCUGGCGGCGUGCCUAACACAUGCAAGUCGAACGGGACUCUUUUAGAUCAAGACUUCGGUUGAGAGAAGCUAGAGUCUAGUGGCGGACGGGUGAGUAACGCGUGAGCAACCUGCCUUUCAGAGGGGGACAACAGUUGGAAACGACUGCUAAUACCGCAUAUUGCAUAUUUAUCGCAUGAUAAAUAUGUGAAAGAUUUAUCGCUGAAAGAUGGGCUCGCGUCUGAUUAGCUAGUUGGUGGGGUAAUGGCUCACCAAGGCAACGAUCAGUAGCCGGACUGAGAGGUUGAACGGCCACAUUGGGACUGAGAUACGGCCCAGACUCCUACGGGAGGCAGCAGUGGGGAAUAUUGGGCAAUGGGGGAAACCCUGACCCAGCAACGCCGCGUGGAGGAAGAAGGCUUUCGGGUUGUAAACUCCUUUGACCAGGGAAGAAGAAGUGACGGUACCUGGAAAACAAGCCACGGCUAACUACGUGCCAGCCGCCGCCGUAACAC
This 501-nucleotide ribosomal RNA is filed under the name uncultured bacterium. RNAcentral describes it as "bacterial SSU rRNA". It matches the Rfam family "Bacterial small subunit ribosomal RNA", at positions 28 to 526 of the family's 1533-position model. The record is from RNAcentral.